RNAcentral lists this transfer-messenger RNA (403 nucleotides) under Patescibacteria group. RNAcentral's name for it is "JABIBU01 sp018652595 Standard tmRNA". It matches the Rfam family "transfer-messenger RNA". Rfam says of the family: Bacterial tmRNA, also known as 10Sa RNA or SsrA, is named for its dual tRNA and mRNA-like properties. Its role is to liberate the mRNA from a stalled ribosome. The record is from RNAcentral. RNAcentral also lists the same sequence under 1 other name.
GGGGAUGACAGGGUUCGAUAGAUGGACCUAGUUAUCUUUUAUACGCAUGUCGAGGUUGUAUUCUUUUCCUCGUAAAUACCAAGAAUACACGAUAUAAGUGCAAACUUUUUAUCAAGAGUGAAGAACACUGUAGCUUCGGCUUUCAGCGUACCUUCAUUCGCAUCUGUAGUGGUUUAAGUACUACUACCAUCGCUCUCAUGAUACUCAAUAGUGAAUCAGCGGUGUCAAAUCAUUGAGUGUAGGGCGGGGCCCCCUCCUGUGGGCCUUGUCUGAAGUCAAUUCAGGAUUACUUAGUAUCUUUUUGCUAGUUUCAAAAAUAUUAAGGAAUCACCAAACUAGCUAAACAUGUAGACUAUUGGGGUAACCCAUUUAGACCCGGGUUCAAUUCCCGGCAUCUCCACUU